Long non-coding RNA from Mirounga angustirostris (Northern elephant seal), 511 nucleotides. RefSeq lists it as uncharacterized. The record is from RefSeq and is a predicted model, not a curated record. The transcript has 5 exons. NCBI's taxonomy places the organism in Eukaryota, Metazoa, Chordata, Mammalia, Carnivora, Phocidae.
CCUCCCCUUCCUCCUCCUCCCCUUUAGCCUCCUGCCUUAAUAGCGGCUGCGCCUGCGAGGGGGGUCCGGAUGCCCGGUGCUCCGGGGUCACGGGCCCCAGACAGCUCUCCGGGGUCAGCGGGUCAGGGGCGCCGGCGGGCGGCGGCAGCGGCAGGGACAUGAGGAUGAGGUUAUGGGGAUAAAGAGGACAGGAAAAGGAGACAAAAUGGAGCAGCCAGAACAGUAGGAGGAGCACAAUUUUGAGCCGAAAUGUGGAACCCCCUGAGGAUGCUGCCGCCUGCCACUUUCUUGGACUGUGGACCUGAGGGCAUAACAUAUUGAAGAAACCCAGCGAUUUCUAACUGGCUAUCAUCACUUCAGAGAAUUUCCGAAGGCAAGAUCUGAUAAGAAUCCUCAAGAUUUGCCAUCUGAAUUUAAGGUAGGUAGGUCUCUCCUUCACCUGUUCAUUCAAUGGGUCUGAGCUAGAACUCCAACCCACUUUCCCCAAAUUUCCCUAUUACUUACAGAGCAG